Molecule: long non-coding RNA, 914 nt
Organism: Sarcophilus harrisii (Tasmanian devil)
Lineage: Eukaryota; Metazoa; Chordata; Mammalia; Dasyuromorphia; Dasyuridae
Exons: 4
Source: RefSeq, a predicted model, not a curated record
UCUCUGUCAUUUUAUAAAAUCAUUAUUUACCAUUUUAAUGAUUUCUUCUUCAGUACUCUUGCUGUGGUACCCAACUGGUCUGACUGUUGAGCACUUUUAGGGACCCACUAUUUUGAUGAAGAACUCAGCCAUCCUUUAUGAUAUUUCCCAGCUGCCAAGACCAGCAAACAUGGUCUGAUCACUGAACACAUGUCUGGAAUUCCUGCCUUAGGUCCCUGCUGCUUUGAAUGGUCAUGAACCCAUUUCCAACAACCCUCAUGUAUUCAAGAACUAUUAGCAUGGACAAAAGCAAGAACUGGGUUGCAGGCUGAAGACUACCACAUAGACUGUCUAUACAAGGUUUGUCUAACAGCAAAGACCAUUGGGAAGAAAGAAGAGAAAUGGCUGCACUUUUAUUAUCAAGAUUCCAUAAGGAUAGUGAGAGAUGACAUGCUGGUUGAUAUUACUAAGUGAAACUUCUUCUGGAAAUGCUGAAUGGAUGAAGAGGCAAUGUGGAAAAUUUACAUCUACCUGAAAAAAAUUCUUAGAAGGAAAUCUCUCAGGAAGUCAUAGCCAAAAAUCUUAGAGCUUCCAGGUUAAAGAAGAAGUAGUAGAAGCAACCAGAAGGAAAGAAUUCAAGUAAUGAGGAGCCACAAUACUAACAAUUUACCAGUCACUUAUUUUAAAAAAUUGAGAAAUUAGAAUAUGACAUUCCUGAAGAUAAAAGAUGAGCUUAUAGUAAAAAAAAAUUACUGAGCUAAAUUGAAUAUAAUGUUAUGAGGGUUGAGGAUAGGGGAAGAGCAAAUGGAUCUUGAAUGUAUUAGAGAAAUUUUAGCAUUUUUGAUGAAAAGACAAGAGUUGUGGAGAAAAGUUGAAGUUCAAACACAGAAAUGAAGAGAAAUUUAUUUUUUAAAUUCCUUAUUAAUUUAUUUAAU